This 63-nucleotide transfer RNA is filed under the name Taeniopygia guttata (zebra finch). It matches the Rfam family "tRNA", at positions 6 to 65 of the family's 71-position model. From Rfam's summary of the family: Transfer RNA (tRNA) molecules are approximately 80 nucleotides in length. Their secondary structure includes four short double-helical elements and three loops (D, anti-codon, and T loops). The record is from Rfam by way of RNAcentral. Lineage: Eukaryota; Metazoa; Chordata; Aves; Passeriformes; Estrildidae.
AUUAGCUCAGUUGGUGAGAGCAUGGUGUUAAUAAUGCCAAAGUUGUAGGUUCGAUCCCCACAU